RNAcentral lists this ribosomal RNA (375 nucleotides) under uncultured bacterium. Its description in RNAcentral is "bacterial SSU rRNA". It matches the Rfam family "Bacterial small subunit ribosomal RNA", at positions 521 to 896 of the family's 1533-position model. The record is from RNAcentral.
UAAGACGAACCGUGCGAACGUUGUUCGGAAUCACUGGGCUUAAAGGGCGCGUAGGCGGCUGACCAAGUCAGUGGUGAAAUCCUGCAGCUUAACUGUAGAAGUGCCUUUGAUACUGGUCGGCUCGAGGGAGGUAGGGGUCUGUGGAACUUCUGGUGGAGCGGUGAAAUGCGUUGAUAUCAGAAGGAACGCCGGUGGCGAAAGCGACGGACUGGACCUCUUCUGACGCUGAGGCGCGAAAGCUAGGGGAGCAAACGGGAUUAGAUACCCCGGUAGUCCUAGCCCUAAACGAUGGGCACUAGGUUGUAGACUAACAUGGGUUUACAGCCGAAGCAAAAGUGUUAAGUGCCCCGCCUGGGGAGUAUGGUCGCAAGGCUG